GAUGAAGAACGUAGCGAAUUGCGAUAUGUAAUGUGAAUUGCAGAAUUCAGUGAAUCAUCGAAUCUUUGAACGCACAUUGCGCCCGCCAGCACUCUGGCGGGCAUGCCUGUUCGAGCGUCAUUUCAACCAUCAAGCCCCCAGGGGCUUGUGCUGGGGCCCUGCGGCUGCCCGCAGGCCCUGAAAACCAGUGGCGGGCUCGCUAGUCACACCGAGCGCAGUAGCACAUCUCGCUCAGGGCGUGCGGCGGGCUCCUGCCGUGAAACCCCCCACUGUAACCCCAAAGGUUGACCUCGGAUCAGGUAGGAAUACCCGCUGAACUUAAGCAUAUCAAUAAGCGGAGGA
This 342-nucleotide unclassified non-coding RNA is filed under the name soil metagenome. RNAcentral's name for it is "partial contains 5.8S ribosomal RNA, internal transcribed spacer 2, and large subunit ribosomal RNA". The stretch from base 1 to 120 matches the Rfam family "5.8S ribosomal RNA", at positions 35 to 154 of the family's 154-position model. The record is from RNAcentral.